RNAcentral lists this ribosomal RNA (907 nucleotides) under uncultured Bacillota bacterium. Its description in RNAcentral is "bacterial SSU rRNA". It matches the Rfam family "Bacterial small subunit ribosomal RNA", at positions 1 to 917 of the family's 1533-position model. The record is from RNAcentral. Lineage: Bacteria; Bacillati; Bacillota.
UGGAUCCAGACUUUGAUUCUGGCUCAGGAUAAACGCUGGCGGCGCACAUAAGACAUGCAAGUCGAACGGACUUAAUCUCUUGCUUGCAAGAGAAGCGGUUAGUGGCGGACUGGUGAGUAACACGUAAGAAAUCUGCCUAUCAGAGGGGAAUAACAGUGAGAAAUCAUUGCUAAUACCGCAUAUGCCAUAGGGUUCGCAUGAGCCUAGUGGGAAAGAAGCAAUUCGCUGAUAGAUGAGCUUGCGGCUGAUUAGCUAGUUGGUGGGGUAAAGGCCUACCAAGGCGACGAUCAGUAGCCGGACUGAGAGGUUGAACGGCCACAUUGGGACUGAGAUACGGCCCAGACUCCUACGGGAGGCAGCAGUCGGGAAUAUUGCGCAAUGGAGGGAACUCUGACGCAGUGACGCCGCGUAUAGGAAGAAGGUUUUCGGAUUGUAAACUAUUGUCCACAGGGAAGAAAAGGACUGUACCUGUGAAGAAAGCUCCGGCUAACUACGUGCCAGCAGCCGCGGUAAUACGUAGGGAGCAAGCGUUAUCCGGAAUUAUUGGGUGUAAAGGGUGCGUAGACGGGAUAGCAAGUUGGUUGUGAAACCCCUCGGCUCAACUGAGGAACUGCAACCAAAACUAUUAUUCUUGAGUGCAGGAGAGGAAAGUGGAAUUCCUAGUGUAGCGGUGAAAUGCGUAGAUAUUAGGAAGAACACCGGUGGCGAAGGCGACUUUCUGGACUGUAACUGACGUUGAGGCACGAAAGUGUGGGGAGCAAACAGGAUUAGAUACCCUGGUAGUCCACACUGUAAACGGUGGAUACUAGGUGUAGGAGGUAUUAAGCCUUCUGUGCCGUCACUAACGCAGUAAGUAUCCCACCUGGGGAGUACGACCGCAAGGUUGCAACUCAAAGGAAUUGACGGA